UACGAAGGGUGCAAGCGUUACUCGGAAUUACUGGGCGUAAAGCGUGCGUAGGUGGUCGUUUUAAGUCUGUUGUGAAAGCCCUGGGCUCAACCUGGGAACUGCAGUGGAAACUGGACGACUAGAGUGUGGUAGAGGGUAGCGGAAUUCCCGGUGUAGCAGUGAAAUGCGUAGAGAUCGGGAGGAACAUCCAUGGCGAAGGCAGCUACCUGGACCAACACUGACACUGAGGCACGAAAGCGUGGGGAGCAAACAGG
RNAcentral lists this ribosomal RNA (254 nucleotides) under uncultured bacterium. Its description in RNAcentral is "partial 16S ribosomal RNA". It matches the Rfam family "Bacterial small subunit ribosomal RNA", at positions 524 to 776 of the family's 1533-position model. The record is from RNAcentral.